RNAcentral lists this ribosomal RNA (253 nucleotides) under uncultured bacterium. RNAcentral describes it as "partial 16S ribosomal RNA". It matches the Rfam family "Bacterial small subunit ribosomal RNA", at positions 524 to 776 of the family's 1533-position model. The record is from RNAcentral.
UACGUAGGGUGCAAGCGUUAAUCGGAAUUACUGGGCGUAAAGCGUGCGCAGGCGGUUUUGUAAGUUUGUCGUGAAAGCCCCGGGCUCAACCUGGGAAUUGCGAUGAAGACUGCAAGGCUUGAAUCUGGCAGAGGGGGGUAGAAUUCCACGUGUAGCAGUGAAAUGCGUAGAGAUGUGGAGGAACACCGAUGGCGAAGGCAGCCCCCUGGGUCAAGAUUGACGCUCGUGCACGAAAGCGUGGGGAGCAAACAGG